RNAcentral lists this ribosomal RNA (501 nucleotides) under uncultured bacterium. Its description in RNAcentral is "partial 16S ribosomal RNA". It matches the Rfam family "Bacterial small subunit ribosomal RNA", at positions 30 to 523 of the family's 1533-position model. The record is from RNAcentral.
AUUGAACGCUGGCGGCAGGCUUAACACAUGUAAGUCGAGCGGAGAUGAGGUGCUUGCACCUUAUCUUAGCGGCGGACGGGUGAGUAAUGCUUAGGAAUCUGCCUAUUAGUGGGGGACAACAUUCCGAAAGGAAUGCUAAUACCGCAUACGUCCUACGGGAGAAAGCAGGGGAUCUUCGGACCUUGCGCUAAUAGAUGAGCCUAAGUCGGAUUAGCUAGUUGGUGGGGUAAAGGCCUACCAAGGCGACGAUCUGUAGCGGGUCUGAGAGGAUGAUCGGCCACACUGGGACUGAGACACGGCCCAGACUCCUACGGGAGGCAGCAGUGGGGAAUAUUGGACAAUGGGCGGAAGCCUGAUCCAGCCAUGCCGCGUGUGUGAAGAAGGCCUUUUGGUUGUAAAGCACUUUAAGCGAGGAGGAGGCUACCUGGAUUAAUACUCUGGGAUAGUGGACGUUACUCGCAGAAUAAGCACCGGCUAACUCUGUGCCAGCCGCCGCAGUAA